AUUGAACGCUGGCGGCAGGCCUAACACAUGCAAGUCGAGCGGAUGAAGGGUGCUUUCUCCUGGAUUCAGCUGCGGACGGGUGUGUAAUGCCUAGGAAUCUGCCUGGUAGUUGGUGAUAACGUCCUGUAACGGGCUCUAAUACCGCAUACGUCCUGUGUGUGUAAUUUGUGGUUCUUCUGACCUCUCGCUUUCUUAUUUUCCUAGGUCGGAUUAGCUAGUUGGUGUGGUAAAGUCAUACCAAGGCGACGAUCCGUAACUGGUCUGAGAGGAUGAUCAGUAAAACUGGAAGUGAGACACGGAAAAGAAUACGACGGGAGGCAGCAGUGGGGAAUAGUGGACAAUGGGGGAAAGCAUGAUACAGAAAAGCCGCGUGUGUGAAGAAGGUCUUCGGAUUGUAAAGAAAGGUAAGUUGGGAGGAAGGGAAGUAAGAUAAAAAAUUGAUGUAUUGACGUUAACAACAGAAAAAGCAACGGCUAACUACGUG
RNAcentral lists this ribosomal RNA (484 nucleotides) under uncultured bacterium. Its description in RNAcentral is "partial 16S ribosomal RNA". It matches the Rfam family "Bacterial small subunit ribosomal RNA", at positions 30 to 507 of the family's 1533-position model. The record is from RNAcentral.